RNAcentral lists this non-coding RNA (29 nucleotides) under Mus musculus (house mouse). The record is from RNAcentral. Lineage: Eukaryota; Metazoa; Chordata; Mammalia; Rodentia; Muridae.
UCUUUCUUUUGUCUCCAUCUCGUCUCUGC